Molecule: transfer RNA, 84 nt
Filed under: Dallia pectoralis (Alaska blackfish)
Lineage: Eukaryota; Metazoa; Chordata; Actinopteri; Esociformes; Umbridae
Description: tRNA-OTHER
Rfam family: tRNA
About the family: Transfer RNA (tRNA) molecules are approximately 80 nucleotides in length. Their secondary structure includes four short double-helical elements and three loops (D, anti-codon, and T loops).
Source: RNAcentral
GUCAGGAUGGCCGAGUGGUCUAAGGCGCCAGACUCAAGUUCUGGUCUCCAUAUGGAGGCGUGGGUUCAAAUCCCACUUCUGACA